RNAcentral lists this ribosomal RNA (639 nucleotides) under uncultured bacterium. RNAcentral's name for it is "bacterial SSU rRNA". It matches the Rfam family "Bacterial small subunit ribosomal RNA", at positions 9 to 651 of the family's 1533-position model. The record is from RNAcentral.
GAGUUUGAUCAUGGCUCAGGAUGAACGCUAGCGGCAGGCUUAACACAUGCAAGUCGAGGGGUAGUAUAGCAAUAUAUGAGACCGGCGCACGGGUGCGUAACGCGUAUGCAAUCUACCUUUUACAGGGGAAUAGCCCAGAGAAAUUUGGAUUAAUGCCCCAUGGUAUAAUUGAUUGGCAUCAAUUAAUUAUUAAAGUUCCAACGGUAAAAGAUGAGCAUGCGUCCCAUUAGCUAGUUGGUAUGGUAACGGCAUACCAAGGCGAUGAUGGGUAGGGGUCCUGAGAGGGAGAUCCCCCACACUGGUACUGAGACACGGACCAGACUCCUACGGGAGGCAGCAGUGAGGAAUAUUGGACAAUGGGCGCAAGCCUGAUCCAGCCAUGCCGCGUGCAGGAAGAAGCAUCUAUGGUGUGUAAACUGCUUUUAUACAGGAAGAAACACUCCCUCGUGAGGGAGCUUGACGGUACUGUAAGAAUAAGGACCGGCUAACUCCGUGCCAGCAGCCGCGGUAAUACGGAGGGUCCAAGCGUUAUCCGGAAUCAUUGGGUUUAAAGGGUCCGUAGGCGGUUUAAUAAGUCAGUGGUGAAAGCCCAUCGCUCAACGAUGGAACGGCCAUUGAUACUGUUAGACUUGAAUUAUU